RNAcentral lists this ribosomal RNA (460 nucleotides) under uncultured bacterium. RNAcentral's name for it is "partial 16S ribosomal RNA". It matches the Rfam family "Bacterial small subunit ribosomal RNA", at positions 338 to 795 of the family's 1533-position model. The record is from RNAcentral.
CCUACGGGGGGCUGCAGUGAGGAAUAUUGGUCAAUGGACGAGAGUCUGAACCAGCCAAGUAGCGUGAAGGAUGACGGCCCUAUGGGUUGUAAACUUCUUUUAUAAAGGAAUAAAACGAGGCACGUGUGCCUUUUUGCAUGUACUUUAUGAAUAAGGAUCGGCUAACUCCGUGCCAGCAGCCGCGGGAAUACGGAGGAUCCGAGCGUUAUCCAGAUUUAUUGGGUUUAAAGGGAGCGUAGAUGGGUUGUUAAGUAAGUUGUGAAAGUUUGCGGCUCAACCGUAAAAUUGCCAUUGAAACUGGCGGUCGUGAGUACAGUUGAGGUAUGCGGAAUGCGUGGUGUAGCGGUGAAAUGCUUAGAUAUCACGCAGAACCCCGAUUGCGAAGGCAGCUUACUAAACUAUGACUGACAUUGAUGCACGAAAGUGUGGGGAUCAAACAGGAUUAGAUACCCGAGUAGUC